Long non-coding RNA from Lathyrus oleraceus (garden pea), 2100 nucleotides. RefSeq lists it as uncharacterized. The transcript has 5 exons. Lineage: Eukaryota; Viridiplantae; Streptophyta; Magnoliopsida; Fabales; Fabaceae. The record is from RefSeq and is a predicted model, not a curated record.
CAAAAGAAGAGAUAUUCUUUUUCUUGAAAGAACGUCUCUGCCUUCUCUCUCUUUCAACAGAUCUCCAGGCCUCCACUAAGAACCAGCCAUAUGUCCCACUAUUGACAGAUGCACGUCACAAAAGAAAUAAUACCCACGCAUACCUCACGGAUCAGGAGGAUUUGUUUUUGAAAAAAAACCUAUUUUCCACUCAAAGGGUAGAUAAUAAUACUCUCUGAUCUUACUUUGAAGGUGGUGGCAGAAAUAACCUUCACCCACUUCAACCACCACCAACUCAAUCACCAUGUAAAAGUGAAACCCUCCGAACAACCGUCCACACCACCACGUCCAUCACAACCUUCCUCCGACGAGCACCCUAAACCGCCUCACGGCGUCGCCGUUCCUUUCCUUAAACUAACACCUCCGCUCUUCACCACUAAAAAACCCACAGAUCCUCCGCUGAUCUGCAACAAGUGAUUUGAACCACCAUGAAUCCACUUAUCUCAACCACAUACUUCCUCCAAUUCAUCACUAUCACCUCUGUUACACCUCAAAUCCACGCCAUCUCAUUACCUACAGCACCUCAACCUCUCUUCCAUUUUCCGACAACCUACUAGAAUCCACCGUCACUCGCUUGUAUUUUCAACUCUUUCCACCAUAAAUCACCUUAACUUCUUCUACUUUAAAUAACAACAAAACCGUGAUUCCCACCUGCAUAAAUCCAACAACAUAAACAUAAACGUCUUCAUCCUUCCGUUUAUCUUUCUGCAAACCUCAACAACAAUCCUACAACAAUCACACCAUUGUGCUUUUUCCGGCAAGCCCACUCACGACUCCGCAAUACUAUCGAUCUCCCACCACCGCCUGAACAACGCGCCGCCUUCUGUUGACGAAAGUAGAGCUUACGAGAAAAGGGCAUUUUCACUAAGAAGCGUAUUUAGGGAUCCGACUCGUGAUGACGUGUUUUAGAUGAUGCUGCUCAGUUUCAUUUCCAGCAUGGUGGCGAUCCAUCGGAGAAAUUUGUUUGCUUGCAUCUUGUGGAGAAAAUUUGCAGAAAACCGAUGGAAAAAGUGGUUCGAAUACGAGGUGCAUAUGGUAAGAUUCCAGACCGCACUUUAGGAUGGAGCGCAUCUUCAUCUACAGCAGAGUCGGCUGGAUAUCUAGGAGGGCCGUACGAUAGUCUCUUUUGGUGAAGUACGAGCAUCAUGUUGCUCGCCAUUUAUGGUUUGGUAAGGUAUCUUCUGGAGUCCCCAGGAUGUCACGGAAGAGGUAGCUUUUGAACUUGCUGUUGACUACUUAGGAGUGUCACAGGGUGAGACACAAUCACAUGUUCGUAGCUGCAAGGGUUCAUUUUAUAAGUUGGAGUGGUUAUACGAUUUAUUCAUAUAACAUAGAGCUGCUUCCAGCUGGGCAUAUGCGACCAGAUCAUAUCUGUUGAUGUUGGUCGGUUCCACCAUUUUUGCCGAUAAGACCUUUACCCUAUACAGAUAUCUUGGAGAUGCGUCCAUGUUCAGUUGCAAACAACUCGUGCUGGAUUCACAAGUACUUUCCAACUGUUGGAAAAAGAUGGGAGAAUUGGAAACCAGUUGAUAAUUAUGGUCUUCCUCGAGCGAUGGGAUGGUGCUAUAGGCAAGGAGUCCUGAAGGUUGAUGAUUUACGACCUAAUUUGGACGAGCUGACACCUGCCGACGUCAUAUGACGUCCAUUUGAGGAUCAUAGAGCACGGCGUCAGUUUGAUGAGUUAUAUCUCUAUAGGGGAUGUUUGAAGUGGGGUGAGACAGUUGUUUCAUACUUGCCUGACAGAUGUUUACGUCAGUUCGGGUACAUGCGGUAUGUUCCAUUCCCACCUCUUGAUUGUAUGAUGACGACUGAUAUUGAUGUUGAUGGGAUUGGUUACCAUCAGAGCGUUAUCGCUGUGAUUCGUCAAACUACCCUGGCCACCACUCCAUCUGAUGUAGAAGAUGGUUAUCUGGAGUGGUAUUAUUGUGUUUUGCAUCCACGGUUGGUCCCUUCCCAUCGUGACGAUCCAAGAGAGGUACCAGUUCCUGUUUAUGACGUCGGACUAUCUGAUCCUGAUUAGGCUCGUGUAUCUACAUUGAUUCAUCGUUAUCUGAGACAGGU